This 425-nucleotide ribosomal RNA is filed under the name uncultured bacterium. RNAcentral describes it as "partial 16S ribosomal RNA". It matches the Rfam family "Bacterial small subunit ribosomal RNA", at positions 359 to 776 of the family's 1533-position model. The record is from RNAcentral.
GAAUUUUGGACAAUGGGCGACAGCCUGAUCCCGCACUGCCGCGUGCAGGAUGAAGGCCUUCGGGUUGUAAACUGCUUUUGUCCGGAACGAAACGCUUUUGUUUACUCCCCUGGCGUCAUUACGGUACCGUAAUAAUAAGCACCUGCUAACUCCGUCCCAGCCGCCGCGGUAAUACGUAGGGUGCAAGCGUUAAUCGGAAUUACUGGGCGUAAAGCGUGCGCAGGCGGUUUGGUAAGACAGAGGUGAAAGCCCCGGGCUCAACCUGGGAACUGCCUUUGUGACUGCAAGGCUAGAGUACGGCAGAGGGGGGUGGAAUUCCGCGUGUAGCAGUGAAAUGCGUAGAUAUGCGGAGGAACACCGAUGGCGAAGGCAACCCCCUGGGCCUGUACUGACGCUCAUGCACGAAAGCGUGGGGAGCAAACAGG